AGUUCGCCAUCUUUGCCCGUGGGGUACAUCAAUGUUUGUCGUCCACCUCCUUCGGAUGAAAUGUGUGGGGAAAAGUUCGCUGCUUUCAGACAACUCGGCUACAUUUCGAAGUAACAGCACGAAAGGAUUUAUUUUUCCUCGCGGAUGUUCUCUGUGGGGUUUCCUGCGAAGACAUCUGCGGUGAAAUGCUGUGACACGCAGCAGUUUUCUGGACUUGAACUUUCUCCUCGGUGUUAACCGCUAAUCUGGAACAAAGUGAUGUUCAUGUCAGAUGUGCUGCCAUCCUCUGUGCUCUCCUGCCGACCUGCAUGAGGAAGACUCCAGCUCUCUGAAGACCUGGAAUGUGUCACCACGUCGUCCACGACAUCGCCCACGAUCGCUGAGCCGCCGUCCAUGAUCGGAGAGACAUUGUUGAGGAUGAGGGAGACAUCGUCCUCGAUCAGAGACAUUGUCCGUGACUUGUGGUGACUCGGUCCCCAAUAAGUCGGCAUUGCCGGCGUUCAUGGAGACAUUGUCGAUGAUCGCAGAGACUUUGUCUAUAAUCUCAGAGACAUUGUCCGCGAUCACUGAGACGUUGUCCACGAUCGCAGAGAAUCUUCGUACGGUGAAGUUCUUUGAGACCAGGACAGAGGCCUCCAGGUGUCACCACGUCGUCCACGACAUCACCCACGAUCGCUGAGCCGCCGUCCAUGAUCGGAGAGACAUUGUUGAGGAUGAGGGAGACAUCGUCCUCGAUCAGAGACAUUGUCCGUGACUUGUGGUGACUCGGUCCCCAAUAAGUCGGCAUUGCCGGCGUUCAUGGAGACAUUGUCGAUGAUCGCAGAGACUUUGUCUAUAAUCUCAGAGACAUUGUCCGCGAUCACAGAGACGUCGUCCACGAUCGCAGAGACAUGGUCCAUGAUCGGAGAGACAUUGUUGAGGAUGAGGGAGACAUCGUCCACAGUCAGAGACGUUGUCCAUGAUUGCAGAGUCCUUGUCAAAGAUGAGAGAGACGUUGUCCAUGGUCAGAAACAUUGUCUCUGCUUCGCAGAGCUCUGCGCAAGAAUCGGUAGUGACACUGUGGUUCCUCGAUUCGACGGCAUGACCGCGAUCAGUUGACAUUGUUAAUGAUCACAGAGAAACAGUCUAUCAUCAGAGACUUGGUCCACGAUCACAGACACAUUGUCGAUGAUUGCAGAGACUUUGUCCAUAAUCUCAGAGAUAUUGUCCGCGAUCACAGAGACGUAGUCCACGAUCACAGAAGACCAGGUGUCACCACUUCGUCCACGACAUCGCCCACGAUCGCUGAGCCGUCGUCCAUGAUCGGAGAGACAUUGUUGAGGAUGAGGGAGACAUCGUCCUCGAUCAGAGACAUUGUCCGUGACUUGUGGUGACUCGGUCCCCAAUAAGUCGGCAUUCCCGGCGUUCAUGGAGACAUUGUCGAUGAUCGCAGAGACUUUGUCCACGAUCUCAGAGACAUUGUCCGCGAUCACUGAGACGUCGUCCACGAUCGCAGAGAAUCUUCGGACGGUGAAGUUCUUUGAGACCAGGACAGAGGCCUCCAGGUGUCACCACGUCGUCCACGACAUCACCCACGAUCGCUGAGCCGCCGUCCAUGAUCGGAGAGACAUUGUUGAGGAUGAGGGAGACAUCGUCCUCGAUCAGAGACAUUGUCCGUGACUUGUGGUGACUCGGUCCCCAAUAAGUCGGCAUUGCCGGCGUUCAUGGAGACAUUGUCGAUGAUCGCAGAGACUUUGUCUAUAAUCUCAGAGACAUUGUCCGCGAUCACAGAGACGUCGUCCACGAUCGCAGAGACAUGGUCCAUGAUCGGAGAGACAUUGUUGAGGAUGAGGGAGACAUCGUCCACAAUCAGAGACGUUGUCCAUGAUUGCAGAGUCCUUGUCAAAGAUGAGAGAGACGUUGUCCAUGGUCAGAAACAUUGUCUCUGCUUCGCAGAGCUCUGCGCAAGAAUCGGUAGUGACACUGUGGUUCCUCGAUUCGACGGCAUGACCGCGAUCAGCUGACAUUGUUAAUGAUCACAGAGAAACAGUCUAUCAUCAGAGACUUGGUCCACGAUCACAGACACAUUGUCGAUGAUUGCAGAGACUUUGUCCAUAAUCUCAGAGAUAUUGUCCGCGAUCACAGAGACGUAGUCCACGAUCACAGAAGACCAGGUGUCACCACUUCGUCCACGACAUCGCCCACGAUCGCUGAGCCGUCGUCCAUGAUCGGAGAGACAUUGUUGAGGAUGAGGGAGACAUCGUCCUCGAUCAGAGACAUUGUCCGUGACUUGUGGUGACUCGGUCCCCAAUAAGUCGGCAUUCCCGGCGUUCAUGGAGACAUUGUCGAUGAUCGCAGAGACUUUGUCCACGAUCUCAGAGACAUUGUCCGCGAUCACUGAGACGUCGUCCACGAUCGCAGAGAAUCUUCGGACGGUGAAGUUCUUUGAGACCAGGACAGAGGCCUCCAGGUGUCACCACGUCGUCCACGACAUCACCCACGAUCGCUGAGCCGCCGUCCAUGAUCGGAGAGACAUUGUUGAGGAUGAGGGAGACAUCGUCCUCGAUCAGAGACAUUGUCCGUGACUUGUGGUGACUCGGUCCCCAAUAAGUCGGCAUUGCCGGCGUUCAUGGAGACAUUGUCGAUGAUCGCAGAGACUUUGUCUAUAAUCUCAGAGACAUUGUCCGCGAUCACAGAGACGUCGUCCACGAUCGCAGAGACAUGGUCCAUGAUCGGAGAGACAUUGUUGAGGAUGAGGGAGACAUCGUCCACAGUCAGAGACGUUGUCCAUGAUUGCAGAGUCCUUGUCAAAGAUGAGAGAGACGUUGUCCAUGGUCAGAAACAUUGUCUCUGCUUCGCAGAGCUCUGCGCAAGAAUCGGUAGUGACACUGUGGUUCCUCGAUUCGACGGCAUGACCGCGAUCAGCUGACAUUGUUAAUGAUCACAGAGAAACAGUCUAUCAUCAGAGACUUGGUCCACGAUCACAGACACAUUGUCGAUGAUUGCAGAGACUUUGUCCAUAAUCUCAGAGAUAUUGUCCGCGAUCACAGAGACGUAGUCCACGAUCACAGAAGACCAGGUGUCACCACUUCGUCCACGACAUCGCCCACGAUCGCUGAGCCGUCGUCCAUGAUCGGAGAGACAUUGUUGAGGAUGAGGGAGACAUCGUCCUCGAUCAGAGACAUUGUCCGUGACUUGUGGUGACUCGGUCCCCAAUAAGUCGGCAUUCCCGGCGUUCAUGGAGACAUUGUCGAUGAUCGCAGAGACUUUGUCCACGAUCUCAGAGACAUUGUCCGCGAUCACUGAGACGUCGUCCACGAUCGCAGAGAAUCUUCGGACGGUGAAGUUCUUUGAGACCAGGACAGAGGCCUCCAGGUGUCACCACGUCGUCCACGACAUCACCCACGAUCGCUGAGCCGCCGUCCAUGAUCGGAGAGACAUUGUUGAGGAUGAGGGAGACAUCGUCCUCGAUCAGAGACAUUGUCCGUGACUUGUGGUGACUCGGUCCCCAAUAAGUCGGCAUUGCCGGCGUUCAUAGAGACAUUGUCGAUGAUCGCAGAGACUUUGUCUAUAAUCUCAGAGACAUUGUCCGCGAUCACAGAGACGUCGUCCACGAUCGCAGAGACAUGGUCCAUGAUCGGAGAGACAUUGUUGAGGAUGAGGGAGACAUCGUCCACAAUCAGAGACGUUGUCCAUGAUUGCAGAGACCUUGUCAAAGAUGAGAGAGACGUUGUCCAUGGUCAGAAACAUUGUCUCUGCUUCGCAGAGCUCUGCGCAAGAAUCGGUAGUGACACUGUGGUUCCUCGAUUCGACGGCAUGACCGCGAUCAGCUGACAUUGUUAAUGAUCACAGAGAAACAGUCUAUCAUCAGAGACUUGGUCCACGAUCACAGACACAUUGUCGAUGAUUGCAGAGACUUUGUCCAUAAUCUCAGAGAUAUUGUCCGCGAUCACAGAGACGUAGUCCACGAUCACAGAAGACCAGGUGUCACCACUUCGUCCACGACAUCGCCCACGAUCGCUGAGCCGUCGUCCAUGAUCGGAGAGACAUUGUUGAGGAUGAGGGAGACAUCGUCCUCGAUCAGAGACAUUGUCCGUGACUUGUGGUGACUCGGUCCCCAAUAAGUCGGCAUUGCCGGCGUUCAUGGAGACAUUGUCGAUGAUCGCAGAGACUUUGUCCACGAUCUCAGAGACAUUGUCCGCGAUCACUGAGACGUCGUCCACGAUCGCAGAGAAUCUUCGUACGGUGAAGUUCUUUGAGACCAGGACAGAGGCCUCCAGGUGUCACCACGUCGUCCACGACAUCGCCCACGAUCGCUGAGCCGCCGUCCAUGAUCGGAGAGACAUUGUUGAGGAUGAGGGAGACAUCGUCCUCGAUCAGAGACAUUGUCUGUGACUUGUGGUGACUCGGUCCCCAAUAAGUCGGCAUUCCCGGCGUUCAUGGAGACAUUGUCGAUGAUCGCAGAGACUUUGUCCACGAUCUCAGAGACAUUGUCCGCGAUCACUGAGACGUCGUCCACGAUCGCAGAGAAUCUUCGGACGGUGAAGUUCUUUGAGACCAGGACAGAGGCCUCCAGGUGUCACCACGUCGUCCACGACAUCACCCACGAUCGCUGAGCCGCCGUCCAUGAUCGGAGAGACAUUGUUGAGGAUGAGGGAGACAUCGUCCUCGAUCAGAGACAUUGUCCGUGACUUGUGGUGACUCGGUCCCCAAUAAGUCGGCAUUGCCGGCGUUCAUAGAGACAUUGUCGAUGAUCGCAGAGACUUUGUCUAUAAUCUCAGAGACAUUGUCCGCGAUCACAGAGACGUCGUCCACGAUCGCAGAGACAUGGUCCAUGAUCGGAGAGACAUUGUUGAGGAUGAGGGAGACAUCGUCCACAAUCAGAGACGUUGUCCAUGAUUGCAGAGACCUUGUCAAAGAUGAGAGAGACGUUGUCCAUGGUCAGAAACAUUGUCUCUGCUUCGCAGAGCUCUGCGCAAGAAUCGGUAGUGACACUGUGGUUCCUCGAUUCGACGGCAUGACCGCGAUCAGCUGACAUUGUUAAUGAUCACAGAGAAACAGUCUAUCAUCAGAGACUUGGUCCACGAUCACAGACACAUUGUCGAUGAUUGCAGAGACUUUGUCCAUAAUCUCAGAGAUAUUGUCCGCGAUCACAGAGACGUAGUCCACGAUCACAGAAGACCAGGUGUCACCACUUCGUCCACGACAUCGCCCACGAUCGCUGAGCCGUCGUCCAUGAUCGGAGAGACAUUGUUGAGGAUGAGGGAGACAUCGUCCUCGAUCAGAGACAUUGUCCGUGACUUGUGGUGACUCGGUCCCCAAUAAGUCGGCAUUGCCGGCGUUCAUGGAGACAUUGUCGAUGAUCGCAGAGACUUUGUCCACGAUCUCAGAGACAUUGUCCGCGAUCACUGAGACGUCGUCCACGAUCGCAGAGAAUCUUCGUACGGUGAAGUUCUUUGAGACCAGGACAGAGGCCUCCAGGUGUCACCACGUCGUCCACGACAUCGCCCACGAUCGCUGAGCCGCCGUCCAUGAUCGGAGAGACAUUGUUGAGGAUGAGGGAGACAUCGUCCUCGAUCAGAGACAUUGUCUGUGACUUGUGGUGACUCGGUCCCCAAUAAGUCGGCAUUCCCGGCGUUCAUGGAGACAUUGUCGAUGAUCGCAGAGACUUUGUCCACGAUCUCAGAGACAUUGUCCGCGAUCACUGAGACGUCGUCCACGAUCGCAGAGAAUCUUCGUACGGUGAAGUUCUUUGAGACCAGGACAGAGGCCUCCAGGUGUCACCACGUCGUCCACGACAUCACCCACGAUCGCUGAGCCGCCGUCCAUGAUCGGAGAGACAUUGUUGAGGAUGAGGGAGACAUCGUCCUCGAUCAGAGACAUUGUCCGUGACUUGUGGUGACUCGGUCCCCAAUAAGUCGGCAUUGCCGGCGUUCAUGGAGACAUUGUCGAUGAUCGCAGAGACUUUGUCUAUAAUCUCAGAGACAUUGUCCGCGAUCACAGAGACGUCGUCCACGAUCGCAGAGACAUGGUCCAUGAUCGGAGAGACAUUGUUGAGGAUGAGGGAGACAUCGUCCACAGUCAGAGACGUUGUCCAUGAUUGCAGAGUCCUUGUCAAAGAUGAGAGAGACGUUGUCCAUGGUCAGAAACAUUGUCUCUGCUUCGCAGAGCUCUGCGCAAGAAUCGGUAGUGACACUGUGGUUCCUCGAUUCGACGGCAUGACCGCGAUCAGCUGGCAUUGUUAAUGAUCACAGAGAAACAGUCUAUCAUCAGAGACUUGGUCCACGAUCACAGACACAUUGUCGAUGAUUGCAGAGACUUUGUCCAUAAUCUCAGAGAUAUUGUCCGCGAUCACAGAGACGUAGUCCACGAUCACAGAAGACCAGGUGUCACCACUUCGUCCACGACAUCGCCCACGAUCGCUGAGCCGUCGUCCAUGAUCGGAGAGACAUUGUUGAGGAUGAGGGAGACAUCGUCCUCGAUCAGAGACAUUGUCCGUGACUUGUGGUGACUCGGUCCCCAAUAAGUCGGCAUUGCCGGCGUUCAUGGAGACAUUGUCGAUGAUCGCAGAGACUUUGUCCACGAUCUCAGAGACAUUGUCCGCGAUCACUGAGACGUCGUCCACGAUCGCAGAGAAUCUUCGGACGGUGAAGUUCUUUGAGACCAGGACAGAGGCCUCCAGGUGUCACCACGUCGUCCACGACAUCACCCACGAUCGCUGAGCCGCCGUCCAUGAUCGGAGAGACAUUGUUGAGGAUGAGGGAGACAUCGUCCUCGAUCAGAGACAUUGUCCGUGACUUGUGGUGACUCGGUCCCCAAUAAGUCGGCAUUGCCGGCGUUCAUGGAGACAUUGUCGAUGAUCGCAGAGACUUUGUCUAUAAUCUCAGAGACAUUGUCCGCGAUCACAGAGACGUCGUCCACGAUCGCAGAGACAUGGUCCAUGAUCGGAGAGACAUUGUUGAGGAUGAGGGAGACAUCGUCCACAAUCAGAGACGUUGUCCAUGAUUGCAGAGUCCUUGUCAAAGAUGAGAGAGACGUUGUCCAUGGUCAGAAACAUUGUCUCUGCUUCGCAGAGCUCUGCGCAAGAAUCGGUAGUGACACUGUGGUUCCUCGAUUCGACGGCAUGACCGCGAUCAGUUGACAUUGUUAAUGAUCACAGAGAAACAGUCUAUCAUCAGAGACUUGGUCCACGAUCACAGACACAUUGUCGAUGAUUGCAGAGACUUUGUCCAUAAUCUCAGAGAUAUUGUCCGCGAUCACAGAGACGUAGUCCACGAUCACAGAAGACCAGGUGUCACCACGUCGUCCACGACAUCGCCCACGAUCGCUGAGCCGCCGUCCAUGAUCGGAGAGACAUUGUUGAGGAUGAGGGAGACAUCGUCCUCGAUCAGAGACAUUGUCCGUGACUUGUGGUGACUCGGUCCCCAAUAAGUCGGCAUUCCCGGCGUUCAUGGAGACAUUGUCGAUGAUCGCAGAGACUUUGUCUAUAAUCUCAGAGACAUUGUCCGCGAUCACAGAGACGUCGUCCACGAUCGCAGAGACAUGGUCCAUGAUCGGAGAGACAUUGUUGAGGAUGAGGGAGACAUCGUCCACAAUCAGAGACGUUGUCCAUGAUUGCAGAGACCUUGUCAAAGAUGAGAGAGACGUUGUCCAUGGUCAGAAACAUUGUCUCUGCUUCGCAGAGCUCUGCGCAAGAAUCGGUAGUGACACUGUGGUUCCUCGAUUCGACGGCAUGACCGCGAUCAGCUGACAUUGUUAAUGAUCACAGAGAAACAGUCUAUCAUCAGAGACUUGGUCCACAAUCACAGACACAUUGUCGAUGAUUGCAGAGACUUUGUCCAUAAUCUCAGAGAUAUUGUCCGCGAUCACAGAGACGUAGUCCACGAUCACAGAAGACCAGGUGUCACCACUUCGUCCACGACAUCGCCCACGAUCGCUGAGCCGUCGUCCAUGAUCGGAGAGACAUUGUUGAGGAUGAGGGAGACAUCGUCCUCGAUCAGAGACAUUGUCCGUGACUUGUGGUGACUCGGUCCCCAAUAAGUCGGCAUUGCCGGCGUUCAUGGAGACAUUGUCGAUGAUCGCAGAGACUUUGUCCACGAUCUCAGAGACAUUGUCCGCGAUCACUGAGACGUCGUCCACGAUCGCAGAGAAUCUUCGUACGGUGAAGUUCUUUGAGACCAGGACAGAGGCCUCCAGGUGUCACCACGUCGUCCACGACAUCGCCCACGAUCGCUGAGCCGCCGUCCAUGAUCGGAGAGACAUUGUUGAGGAUGAGGGAGACAUCGUCCUCGAUCAGAGACAUUGUCCGUGACUUGUGGUGACUCGGUCCCCAAUAAGUCGGCAUUGCCGGCGUUCAUGGAGACAUUGUCGAUGAUCGCAGAGACUUUGUCUAUAAUCUCAGAGACAUUGUCCGCGAUCACAGAGACGUCGUCCACGAUCGCAGAGACAUGGUCCAUGAUCGGAGAGACAUUGUUGAGGAUGAGGGAGACAUCGUCCACAGUCAGAGACGUUGUCCAUGAUUGCAGAGUCCUUGUCAAAGAUGAGAGAGACGUUGUCCAUGGUCAGAAACAUUGUCUCUGCUUCGCAGAGCUCUGCGCAAGAAUCGGUAGUGACACUGUGGUUCCUCGAUUCGACGGCAUGACCGCGAUCAGUUGACAUUGUUAAUGAUCACAGAGAAACAGUCUAUCAUCAGAGACUUGGUCCACGAUCACAGACACAUUGUCGAUGAUUGCAGAGACUUUGUCCAUAAUCUCAGAGAUAUUGUCCGCGAUCACAGAGACGUAGUCCACGAUCACAGAAGACCAGGUGUCACCACUUCGUCCACGACAUCGCCCACGAUCGCUGAGCCGUCGUCCAUGAUCGGAGAGACAUUGUUGAGGAUGAGGGAGACAUCGUCCUCGAUCAGAGACAUUGUCCGUGACUUGUGGUGACUCGGUCCCCAAUAAGUCGGCAUUCCCGGCGUUCAUGGAGACAUUGUCGAUGAUCGCAGAGACUUUGUCCACGAUCUCAGAGACAUUGUCCGCGAUCACUGAGACGUCGUCCACGAUCGCAGAGAAUCUUCGUACGGUGAAGUUCUUUGAGACCAGGACAGAGGCCUCCAGGUGUCACCACGUCGUCCACGACAUCACCCACGAUCGCUGAGCCGCCGUCCAUGAUCGGAGAGACAUUGUUGAGGAUGAGGGAGACAUCGUCCUCGAUCAGAGACAUUGUCCGUGACUUGUGGUGACCCGGUCCCCAAUAAGUCGGCAUUGCCGGCGUUCAUGGAGACAUUGUCGAUGAUCGCAGAGACUUUGUCUAUAAUCUCAGAGACAUUGUCCGCGAUCACAGAGACGUCGUCCACGAUCGCAGAGACAUGGUCCAUGAUCGGAGAGACAUUGUUGAGGAUGAGGGAGACAUCGUCCACAAUCAGAGACGUCGUCCACGAUCGCAGAGAAUCUUCGUACGGUGAAGUUCUUUGAGACCAGGACAGAGGCCUCCAGGUGUCACCACGUCGUCCACGACAUCGCCCACGAUCGCAGAGAUGUAGUCCACAAUCACAGAGUCCUGAUAUAAUGAAGAAGGUGUCACCACUUUGUCCACGAUCAGAGAUGUUGUCUAUGACUCACAGAGAAGUGCAAGAGUCGGUAGUGGCGGAGUUCCCUGAUUCAACGGCAGUGCUUGGGAUCAGAAAGAUAUUGUUGAUGAUCACAGAGACUUUGUCCAUAAUCAGAGGGACAGUGUUCAUGAUCAUGGAGACUUUGUCAAUAAACAGAAAGACAUUGACUGCGAUCACAGAGACGUAGUCCACAAUUGCAGAGAAGUUCAGGACAGAGGCCUGCAAGUAACUUUUCAAUUCAAUUCAAUUCAAUUUUAUUUAUAUAGCGCCAUAUCACAACAACAGUCAUCUCAAGGCACUUUUCAUAUAGUGCAGGUCUAGACCGUACUCUUUAAAAUAGGUAGUAACCUCCAAGAAAUGCAACUAGGAAUAUCAGAAGAUGUAACAAAGUAAUCUCUUCCUAGAUGUAGUUUGCAACAGCAGAAGUUGUCUGUAAACUUCGAAGAUGUGUGAUUAAAAAAAGUACAAAAUAAUAACAGUAAAUAAUAUUAGAGGUAACAAUAAAAGUUAUCCGUAAUAUAUAAGCAAUGCAGAAGUAAUCCAAAAGAUAAAAAUGUUAUACGAUAGUAAGGCGUCAAAAAUGGCCGUGGUAUAAUCAGCCAUUGAAAAAUGGUCAAAAAAUGUCAGUAUUGUAUGGUGUCAAAAAAAACCAUCACAAAAUUUCAUAGUAUAGUAAAAUAUCAAAAACCAUCAAAAAAAUGUCAUACUAUGGCGUAAAAAAAAUUCCAUAGUAUAGUAAGGAGUCAAAAAAGGUCUAAAAAUUUCAUACUAUAGCAAGGUGUCAAAAAUGUCACAGUAUAGUAUGGCAUCAAAAACCAUCAAAAUAUGGUCAAAAAUGUCAUUGUAUAGUAAGGCCUCCAAACAUGGUCAUAGUAUAGAAAGAUGUCAAAAAUGUCAAACAUUUGAGCUUUGUUGUCUUUGUCAUUUCAUUUUCUUUUUUGU
Molecule: long non-coding RNA, 10516 nt
Organism: Lates calcarifer (barramundi perch)
Lineage: Eukaryota; Metazoa; Chordata; Actinopteri; Centropomidae
Exons: 17
Source: RefSeq, a predicted model, not a curated record